RNAcentral lists this long non-coding RNA (204 nucleotides) under Physcomitrium patens. RNAcentral describes it as "long non-coding RNA (PPAT_LNC009069)". Lineage: Eukaryota; Viridiplantae; Streptophyta; Bryopsida; Funariales; Funariaceae. The record is from RNAcentral.
GAUCUUAGUACACUUCUAUGUAAAUGUCCACACUCUAACAACAUUAAAUUGCUAAUAUAAAAAAUUAAUUAGCUUAGAAAAAAAAGCAUAAAAAAAUAAUAACUAUAAUAUAAAUUAAUACAAAGAUACAUUACUAAUCAAUUUAGGUACAAGGUACAAUCAUUUAUUAAAAUCUAUUAAUUUUACUAAAAACUAUUAUUUUUA